Triplophysa rosa is the source of this 417-nucleotide long non-coding RNA. RefSeq lists it as uncharacterized. The transcript has 3 exons. NCBI's taxonomy places the organism in Eukaryota, Metazoa, Chordata, Actinopteri, Cypriniformes, Nemacheilidae. The record is from RefSeq and is a predicted model, not a curated record.
AUGGUCCAAUAAGGAACUAAGAAAAAUUGUUACGAAAUAUUACGUUUUAUAUUUUUCGAAAAAAAAAAACUUUCCGAAACCUGUACGAUCGCUGGGGGAGUGUAUCGAGCACAGAAAUACUACGUAACACGCCCAACUAGUUUUUUUGACAAGUUGACCAUGUUAAGCAUGAGAAGACAGCACGUUUAACAUUGUAAAGAAGUCAGAAUGCAUGACACACCUUUGCACCACCCCUUUAAAAUAACUUCAAGUUCUUGUAUUUCAAGGGUUCAACGUCCUGCCUGGGAGCUUCUCCACCUCAGGGUCAACGCUCUUUCUGGGAAACUUUUCCACCUCAGCAGAAGAGUUGUUUACAGGGACAAAGGGACAAAUCUGAGUCCCAGGUACCUCCAGCAGCUGCUGCUGUUCCAAGAACAG